GGACGCCGUGGCGCUGCUGGAGGAGCUCUGGGGACCAGCAACGAGGGCACCCCAGGAUGUGACGGAAGGCUCUGGGGUGGCUGUCGUGAAGGAAGAUGGUGUGAUGGUGCCUUUGGGAGAUGCGGCCCCCGGAGCUGAGGUGCUGGCGACGGGGGACGCCCAGGCCACGCACCCCUACAAGCAGGAGCCCGGCAGCCCUCCCCCGGCCCCGGCGGCCCCGCCUGCGCCCGGCCUGCCCGCCCU
Molecule: long non-coding RNA, 243 nt
Organism: Suricata suricatta (meerkat)
Lineage: Eukaryota; Metazoa; Chordata; Mammalia; Carnivora; Herpestidae
Exons: 3
Source: RefSeq, a predicted model, not a curated record